AUUGAACGCUGGCGGCAGGCCUAACACAUGCAAGUCGAGCGGUUGAGGUAGCUUGCUACCGAUACAGCGGCGGACGGGUGAGUAAUACAUGGGAAUCUGCCUGGUAGUGGGGGACAACGUUUCGAAAGGAACGCUAAUACCGCAUACGCCCUACGGGGGACAGGGGGGGAUCUUCGGACCUCUCGCUAUCAGACGAGCCCAUGUCAGAUUAGCUUGUUGGUGAGGUAAAGGCUCACCAAGGCGACGAUCUGUAACUGGUCUGAGAGGAUGAUCAGUCACACUGGAACUGAGACACGGUCCAGACUCCUACGGGAGGCAGCAGUGGGGAAUAUUGGACAAUGGGCGCAAGCCUGAUCCAGCCAUGCCGCGUGUGUGAGGAAGGCCUUAGGGUUGUAAAGCACUUUCAGUGGGGAGAAAGGCCUUUUACUUAAUACGUAAGGGGAUUGAUGUUACCCACAGAAGAAGCACCGGCUAACUCCGUGCCAGCCGCCGCCGUAA
Molecule: ribosomal RNA, 498 nt
Filed under: uncultured bacterium
Lineage: Bacteria
Description: partial 16S ribosomal RNA
Rfam family: Bacterial small subunit ribosomal RNA
Source: RNAcentral